UAGGGAAUCUUCCACAAUGGACGCAAGUCUGAUGGAGCAACGCCGCGUGAGUGAAGAAGGUUUUCGGACCGUAAAGCUCUGUUGUUGGUGAAGAAGGAUAGAGGUAGUAACUGGCCUUUAUUUGACGGUAAUCAACCAGAAAGUCACGGCUAACUACGUGCCAGCAGCCGCGGUAAUACGUAGGUGGCAAGCGUUGUCCGGAUUUAUUGGGCGUAAAGCGAGCGCAGGCGGAAGAAUAAGUCUGAUGUGAAAGCCCUCGGCUUAACCGAGGAAUUGCAUCGGAAACUGUUUUUCUUGAGUGCAGAAGAGGAGAGUAGAACUCCAUGUGUAGCGGUGGAAUGCGUAGAUAUAGUGGAAGAAUACCAGUGGCGAAGGCGGCUCUCUGGUCUGCAACUGACGCUGAGGCUCGAAAGCACGGGUAGCGAACAGGAUUAGAUACCCUGGUAGUCCAUGCCGUAAACGAUGAGUGCUAAGUGUUGGGAGGCUUCCGCCUCUCAGUGCUGCAGCUAACGCAUUAAGCACUCCGCCUGGGGGAGUACGACCGCAAGGUUGAAAC
Molecule: ribosomal RNA, 556 nt
Filed under: uncultured bacterium
Lineage: Bacteria
Description: partial 16S ribosomal RNA
Rfam family: Bacterial small subunit ribosomal RNA
Source: RNAcentral